AUUGAACGCUGGCGGCAUGCUUUACACAUGCAAGUCGAACGGCAGCACAGGUGCUUGCACCUGGUGGCGAGUGGCGGACGGGUGAGUAAUACAUCGGAACGUAUCCAGAAGAGGGGGAUAACGCAUCGAAAGAUGUGCUAAUACCGCAUAUUCUCUGAGGAGGAAAGCAGGGGAUCGAAAGACCUUGCGCUUUGGGAGCGGCCGAUGUCUGAUUAGCUAGUUGGUGGGGUAAAGGCCUACCAAGGCGACGAUCAGUAGGGGGCGUGAGAGCGUGACCCCCCCACACGGGUACUGAGACACGGACCCGACUCCUACGGGAGGCAGCAGUAAGGAAUAUUGGUCAAUGGAGGGAACUCUGAACCAGCCAUCCCGCGUGAAGGAUGAAGGGGCUCUGCCUUGUAAACUUCUUUUGCAUGGGACGAAAAAACUUAAUUUAUUAAGGACUGACGGUACCAUGAGAAUAAGCACCGGCUAACUCCGUGCCAGCAGCCGCGGUAAAG
RNAcentral lists this ribosomal RNA (500 nucleotides) under uncultured bacterium. RNAcentral's name for it is "bacterial SSU rRNA". It matches the Rfam family "Bacterial small subunit ribosomal RNA", at positions 30 to 525 of the family's 1533-position model. The record is from RNAcentral.